RNAcentral lists this ribosomal RNA (831 nucleotides) under Salmonella enterica. RNAcentral describes it as "partial 23S ribosomal RNA". It matches the Rfam family "Bacterial large subunit ribosomal RNA", at positions 711 to 1542 of the family's 2925-position model. Lineage: Bacteria; Pseudomonadati; Pseudomonadota; Gammaproteobacteria; Enterobacterales; Enterobacteriaceae. The record is from RNAcentral. RNAcentral also lists the same sequence under 1 other name.
AGACCCGAAACCCGGUGAUCUAGCCAUGGGCAGGUUGAAGGUUGGGUAACACUAACUGGAGGACCGAACCGACUAAUGUUGAAAAAUUAGCGGAUGACCUGUGGCUGGGGGUGAAAGGCCAAUCAAACCGGGAGAUAGCUGGUUCUCCCCGAAAGCUAUUUAGGUAGCGCCUCGUGAAUUCAUCUCCGGGGGUAGAGCACUGUUUCGGCUAGGGGGCCAUCCCGGCUUACCAACCCGAUGCAAACUGCGAAUACCGGAGAAUGUUAUCACGGGAGACACACGGCGGGUGCUAACGUCCGUCGUGAAGAGGGAAACAACCCAGACCGCCAGCUAAGGUCCCAAAGUCAUGGUUAAGUGGGAAACGAUGUGGGAAGGCCCAGACAGCCAGGAUGUUGGCUUAGAAGCAGCCAUCAUUUAAAGAAAGCGUAAUAGCUCACUGGUCGAGUCGGCCUGCGCGGAAGAUGUAACGGGGCUAAACCAUGCACCGAAGCUGCGGCAGCGACGCUGAUGCGUUGUUGGGUAGGGGAGCGUUCUGUAAGCCUGCGAAGGUGGCCUGUGAGGGUUGCUGGAGGUAUCAGAAGUGCGAAUGCUGACAUAAGUAACGAUAAAGCGGGUGAAAAGCCCGCUCGCCGGAAGACCAAGGGUUCCUGUCCAACGUUAAUCGGGGCAGGGUGAGUCGACCCCUAAGGCGAGGCCGAAAGGCGUAGUCGAUGGGAAACGGGUUAAUAUUCCCGUACUUGGUGUUACUGCGAAGGGGGGACGGAGAAGGCUAUGUUGGCCGGGCGACGGUUGUCCCGGUUUAAGCGUGUAGGUGUGUGUUCCAGGUAAAUC